RNAcentral lists this ribosomal RNA (388 nucleotides) under uncultured Bacteroidota bacterium. Its description in RNAcentral is "bacterial SSU rRNA". It matches the Rfam family "Bacterial small subunit ribosomal RNA", at positions 106 to 500 of the family's 1533-position model. Lineage: Bacteria; Pseudomonadati; Bacteroidota. The record is from RNAcentral.
GUGAGUAACGNGUAUCAAUCUACCUCAUACUAGAGGAUAGCCCGAAGAAAUUUGGAUUAAUACUCUAUAGUAUCAUUUAAAGACAUCUUUAUAUGAUUAAAGAUUACGGUAUGAGAUGAGUAUGCGUUCUAUUAGCUUGUAGGUGUGGUAACGGCACACCUAGGCUGCGAUAGAUAGGGGCCCUGAGAGGGGGAUCCCCCACACUGGUACUGAGACACGGACCAGACUCCUACGGGAGGCAGCAGUAAGGAAUAUUGGUCAAUGGACGAAAGUCUGAACCAGCCAUGCCGCGUGCAGGAUGAAUGCCCUAUGGGUUGUAAACUGCUUUUAUACAGGAAGAAAAACUUUCUCGUAGAAAGCUUGACGGUACUUAAGAUAAGUCGGCUAU